GCGGUUCCCGUGCCCGGCCGUGUCCGCAGUCCCGGUCACACGUAUCCGGGUUUCACCGACAGCCGGCGGCAGUUGGGGCAGCCCCGCGUCCCGUUGGUCUGCAGGCACUUCAAGUGGAAGAAGUGGGAGCAAGGCAGCGCCUGCAGUUGGUUGUUCUUCUCCCCAAUAGACUCUCCACACAUGCCACAGUACAGCUCCAUCUCCUCCACGCAUUCAUGGAACUUCACUACAUGGUCACGCAAUUCUCGCUGCAGCCCCUUUGUGCGAUAGAUCCUUUCACACAGACAGUGGAGCUUCAGCAGACCCAGCUUGUUCCCUAGUCCCUCUGCC
This 330-nucleotide long non-coding RNA is filed under the name Gallus gallus (chicken). Lineage: Eukaryota; Metazoa; Chordata; Aves; Galliformes; Phasianidae. The record is from RNAcentral.